RNAcentral lists this long non-coding RNA (215 nucleotides) under Mytilus galloprovincialis (Mediterranean mussel). Lineage: Eukaryota; Metazoa; Mollusca; Bivalvia; Mytilida; Mytilidae. The record is from RNAcentral.
CAAAAAUGAAUUUAAGUGUGAUUAGAAAUGACACGAAUUUAACCAAUGUAUUAUUAGAUUACGAAGACAUUGAUUAUCCGGGAAUUUUAAAAGUUGUUCUUUUACCAGAAAUUAUAUGGAAAGUUGCUUUGUUUGUAUUAAUAAUUUUAACUGCUGUUACGGGUAACAUACUAAUAAUUGUUGUUGUUGCGUGGAACAAACGACUUAGAACCACA